Molecule: ribosomal RNA, 2247 nt
Filed under: Salmonella enterica subsp. enterica
Lineage: Bacteria; Pseudomonadati; Pseudomonadota; Gammaproteobacteria; Enterobacterales; Enterobacteriaceae
Description: bacterial LSU rRNA
Rfam family: Bacterial large subunit ribosomal RNA
Source: RNAcentral
GUGACUGCGUACCUUUUGUAUAAUGGGUCAGCGACUUAUAUUCUGUAGCAAGGUUAACCGAAUAGGGGAGCCGGAGGGAAACCGAGUCUUAAUUGGGCGUUAAGUUGCAGGGUAUAGACCCGAAACCCGGUGAUCUAGCCAUGGGCAGGUUGAAGGUUGGGUAACACUAACUGGAGGACCGAACCGACUAAUGUUGAAAAAUUAGCGGAUGACCUGUGGCUGGGGGUGAAAGGCCAAUCAAACCGGGAGAUAGCUGGUUCUCCCCGAAAGCUAUUUAGGUAGCGCCUCGUGAAUUCAUCUCCGGGGGUAGAGCACUGUUUCGGCUAGGGGGCCAUCCCGGCUUACCAACCCGAUGCAAACUGCGAAUACCGGAGAAUGUUAUCACGGGAGACACACGGCGGGUGCUAACGUCCGUCGUGAAGAGGGAAACAACCCAGACCGCCAGCUAAGGUCCCAAAGUCAUGGUUAAGUGGGAAACGAUGUGGGAAGGCCCAGACAGCCAGGAUGUUGGCUUAGAAGCAGCCAUCAUUUAAAGAAAGCGUAAUAGCUCACUGGUCGAGUCGGCCUGCGCGGAAGAUGUAACGGGGCUAAACCAUGCACCGAAGCUGCGGCAGCGACGCUCAUGCGUUGUUGGGUAGGGGAGCGUUCUGUAAGCCUGCGAAGGUGGCCUGUGAGGGUUGCUGGAGGUAUCAGAAGUGCGAAUGCUGACAUAAGUAACGAUAAAGCGGGUGAAAAGCCCGCUCGCCGGAAGACCAAGGGUUCCUGUCCAACGUUAAUCGGGGCAGGGUGAGUCGACCCCUAAGGCGAGGCCGAAAGGCGUAGUCGAUGGGAAACGGGUUAAUAUUCCCGUACUUGGUGUUACUGCGAAGGGGGGACGGAGAAGGCUAUGUUGGCCGGGCGACGGUUGUCCCGGUUUAAGCGUGUAGGUGUGUGUUCCAGGUAAAUCCGGUUCACUUUAACACUGAGGCGUGAUGACGAGGCACUACGGUGCUGAAGCAACAAAUGCCCUGCUUCCAGGAAAAGCCUCUAAGCAUCAGGUAACAUCAAAUCGUACCCCAAACCGACACAGGUGGUCAGGUAGAGAAUACCAAGGCGCUUGAGAGAACUCGGGUGAAGGAACUAGGCAAAAUGGUGCCGUAACUUCGGGAGAAGGCACGCUGACACGUAGGUGAAGUGAUUUACUCAUGGAGCUGAAGUCAGUCGAAGAUACCAGCUGGCUGCAACUGUUUAUUAAAAACACAGCACUGUGCAAACACGAAAGUGGACGUAUACGGUGUGACGCCUGCCCGGUGCCGGAAGGUUAAUUGAUGGGGUCAGCGCAAGCGAAGCUCCUGAUCGAAGCCCCGGUAAACGGCGGCCGUAACUAUAACGGUCCUAAGGUAGCGAAAUUCCUUGUCGGGUAAGUUCCGACCUGCACGAAUGGCGUAAUGAUGGCCAGGCUGUCUCCACCCGAGACUCAGUGAAAUUGAACUCGCUGUGAAGAUGCAGUGUACCCGCGGCAAGACGGAAAGACCCCGUGAACCUUUACUAUAGCUUGACACUGAACAUUGAGCCUUGAUGUGUAGGAUAGGUGGGAGGCUUUGAAGCGUGGACGCCAGUCUGCGUGGAGCCGACCUUGAAAUACCACCCUUUAAUGUUUGAUGUUCUAACGUGGACCCGUAAUCCGGGUUGCGGACAGUGUCUGGUGGGUAGUUUGACUGGGGCGGUCUCCUCCUAAAGAGUAACGGAGGAGCACGAAGGUUGGCUAAUCCUGGUCGGACAUCAGGAGGUUAGUGCAAUGGCAUAAGCCAGCUUGACUGCGAGCGUGACGGCGCGAGCAGGUGCGAAAGCAGGUCAUAGUGAUCCGGUGGUUCUGAAUGGAAGGGCCAUCGCUCAACGGAUAAAAGGUACUCCGGGGAUAACAGGCUGAUACCGCCCAAGAGUUCAUAUCGACGGCGGUGUUUGGCACCUCGAUGUCGGCUCAUCACAUCCUGGGGCUGAAGUAGGUCCCAAGGGUAUGGCUGUUCGCCAUUUAAAGUGGUACGCGAGCUGGGUUUAGAACGUCGUGAGACAGUUCGGUCCCUAUCUGCCGUGGGCGCUGGAGAACUGAGGGGGGCUGCUCCUAGUACGAGAGGACCGGAGUGGACGCAUCACUGGUGUUCGGGUUGUCAUGCCAAUGGCACUGCCCGGUAGCUAAAUGCGGAAGAGAUAAGUGCUGAAAGCAUCUAAGCACGAAACUUGCCCCGAGAUGAGUUCUCCCUGAGACUU